Molecule: long non-coding RNA, 323 nt
Filed under: Hordeum vulgare
Lineage: Eukaryota; Viridiplantae; Streptophyta; Magnoliopsida; Poales; Poaceae
Description: long non-coding RNA (HVUL_LNC004788)
Source: RNAcentral
UCCCUGGCAGUGUCGACGAUGACUAUUGAGUACGCAUGGGCCAACUCCACCAACUAUUGAGUACUACGCCUCAUGCUUUGAGCCCAUGGGCCCAUGUAGGCAACAAAUCCAAGUCUAGGUCAGCCGUAUGCUUUGGAAUUAAAGCCAGUUUGAAAAAGCUAGAGUGAUUGAUUGCUGAAAGUCAGCAACGAAAAAAAAAGAAACCCAUCUUUCUUUUGGCGAAAAUGGAACACAUCUUUUCGAAACUCUUGAAACGUAUUUUCCACUUCUUCACAAGCUUUUACUGUAAGUUUGUUUCUUAUCAUGUAGCAAUGAGAGACGAA